UACGUAUGGUGCAAGCGGUAUCCGGAUUUACUGGGUGUAAAGGGAGCGUAGGCGGCGCGUUAAGUCUGAUGUGAAAACCCGAGGCUCAACCACGGGAGUGCAUUGGAAACUGGCGGGCUGGAGUGCAGAAGAGGAGAGUGGAACUCCAUGUGUAGCGGUGAAAUGCGUAGAUAUAUGGAAGAACACCAGUGGCGAAAGCGGCUCUCUGGUCUGUAACUGACGCUGAGGUUCGAAAGCGUGGGUAGCAAACAGG
RNAcentral lists this ribosomal RNA (253 nucleotides) under uncultured bacterium. RNAcentral describes it as "partial 16S ribosomal RNA". It matches the Rfam family "Bacterial small subunit ribosomal RNA", at positions 524 to 776 of the family's 1533-position model. The record is from RNAcentral.